Molecule: unclassified non-coding RNA, 216 nt
Filed under: plant metagenome
Description: partial contains small subunit ribosomal RNA, internal transcribed spacer 1, and 5.8S ribosomal RNA
Source: RNAcentral
UCUCCGUUGGUGAACCAGCGGAGGGAUCAUUACUGGAAUCGCAAGAUCCCACAACCCCUGUGAACCUACCGAAACGUUGCCUCGGCGGGCGCCCGGCCCUGCGCCGGGCGCUGAGCCCGCCGGCGGCCCCCUACUCCUGUAUUUCUUACUUUGCAUGUCUGAGUGGAAUCAUAAACAAAUGAAUCAAAACUUUCAACAACGGAUCUCUUGGUUCCG